This 365-nucleotide ribosomal RNA is filed under the name Salmonella enterica. RNAcentral's name for it is "partial 23S ribosomal RNA". It matches the Rfam family "Bacterial large subunit ribosomal RNA", at positions 2578 to 2925 of the family's 2925-position model. The record is from RNAcentral. Lineage: Bacteria; Pseudomonadati; Pseudomonadota; Gammaproteobacteria; Enterobacterales; Enterobacteriaceae.
UGUUCGCCAUUUAAAGUGGUACGCGAGCUGGGUUUAGAACGUCGUGAGACAGUUCGGUCCCUAUCUGCCGUGGGCGCUGGAGAACUGAGGGGGGCUGCUCCUAGUACGAGAGGACCGGAGUGGACGCAUCACUGGUGUUCGGGUUGUCAUGCCAAUGGCACUGCCCGGUAGCUAAAUGCGGAAGAGAUAAGUGCUGAAAGCAUCUAAGCACGAAACUUGCCCCGAGAUGAGUUCUCCCUGAGACUUUAGGUCUCCUGAAGGAACGUUGAAGACGACGACGUUGAUAGGCCGGGUGUGUAAGCGCAGCGAUGCGUUGAGCUAACCGGUACUAAUGAACCGUGAGGCUUAACCUUACAACGCCGAAG